UGGGGGAUAUUGCACAAUGGGCGAAAGCCUGAUGCAGCGACGCCGCGUGGGGGAUGAAGGCCUUCGGGUUGUAAACUUCUUUUGCUCUGAACAAGGCAUGCUAAUGGGUGUGUUGAGUGUAGGGGUUGAUUAGCGCCGGCUAACUACGUGCCAGCAGCCGCGGUAAUACGUAGGGCGCGAGCGUUGUCCGGAAUUAUUGGGCGUAAAGGGCUUGUAGGUGGCUGGUUGCGUCUGUCGUGAAAGCUCAUGGCUUAACUGUGGGUUUGCGGUGGGUACGGGCUGGCUUGAGUGCAGUAGGGGAGGCUGGAAUUCCUGGUGGAGCGGUGGAAUGCGCAGAUAUCAGGAGGAAUACCGGUGGCGAAGGCGGGUCUCUGGGCUGUUACUGACACUGAGGAGCGAAAGCAUGGGGAGCGAACAGG
Molecule: ribosomal RNA, 419 nt
Filed under: bacterium
Lineage: Bacteria
Description: partial 16S ribosomal RNA
Rfam family: Bacterial small subunit ribosomal RNA
Source: RNAcentral